Molecule: ribosomal RNA, 254 nt
Filed under: uncultured bacterium
Lineage: Bacteria
Description: partial 16S ribosomal RNA
Rfam family: Bacterial small subunit ribosomal RNA
Source: RNAcentral
UACAGAGGUCUCAAGCGUUGUUCGGAUUCAUUGGGCGUAAAGGGUGCGUAGGCGGCGAGGCAAGUCUGGUGUGAAAUCCCGGGGCUCAACCCCGGAACUGCACUGGAUACUGCUUUGCUAGAGUACUGGAGAGGGAACUGGAAUUUACGGUGUAGCAGUGAAAUGCGUAGAUAUCGUAAGGAAGACCAGCGGCGAAGGCGACUACCUGGCCUGUUUCUUGACGCUGAGGCGCGAAAGCUAGGGGAGCAAACGGG